This 305-nucleotide ribosomal RNA is filed under the name uncultured bacterium. RNAcentral's name for it is "bacterial SSU rRNA". It matches the Rfam family "Bacterial small subunit ribosomal RNA", at positions 334 to 637 of the family's 1533-position model. The record is from RNAcentral.
UUUUCCUACGGGACGCAGCAGUGAGGAAUAUUGGUCAAUGGGCGCGAGCCUGAACCAGCCAAGUCGCGUGAGGGAAGACGGUCCUAUGGAUUGUAAACCUCUUUUGUCGGAGAACAAAACCCGGGACGUGUCCCGGACUGCGUGUAUCCGAAGAAAAAGCAUCGGCUAACUCCGUGCCAGCAGCCGCGGUAAUACGGAGGAUGCGAGCGUUAUCCGGAUUUAUUGGGUUUAAAGGGUGCGUAGGCGGUCUGUUAAGUCAGCGGUAAAAUUGCGGGGCUCAACCCCGUCGAGCCGUUGAAACUGGC